CCUACGGGUGGCUGCAGUGGGGGAUAUUGCACAAUGGGGGGAACCCUGAUGCAGCGACGCCGCGUGGGUGAAGGAGCGUUUCGGCGCGUAAAGCCCUAUCGGCAGGGAAGAAGAUGACGGUACCUGACCAAGAAGCCCCGGCUAACUACGUGCCAGCAGCCGCGGUAAUACGUAGGGGGCAAGCGUUAUCCGGAUUUACUGGGUGUAAAGGGGGCGCAGACGGCAAUGCAAGCCAGGAGUGAAAGCCCGGGGCCCAACCCCGGGACUGCUCUUGAAACUGCAUGGCUGGAGUACAGGAGGGGCAAGGGGAAUUCCGAGGGUAGCGGGGGAAUGCGUAGAUAUUAGGAGGAACACCAGUGGCGAAGGCGGCCUACUGGACUGUGACUGACGUUGAGGCCCGAAAGCGUGGGGAGCAAACAGGAUUAGAUACCCGGGUAGUC
RNAcentral lists this ribosomal RNA (440 nucleotides) under uncultured bacterium. RNAcentral's name for it is "partial 16S ribosomal RNA". It matches the Rfam family "Bacterial small subunit ribosomal RNA", at positions 338 to 795 of the family's 1533-position model. The record is from RNAcentral.